UUGCAAGGUAGCAAUUUUAGUGGAAGAUUUUAUGGGAUUUUAUUUAAAAAUAUAAUGAAAAUUAAGUAUCUGAAUCUAUGGAAUGAAAAGGCUGCUGUCUGCCAACAUGAUCAAUGAAAAGAUAAAUGGGUGAAGUUAUUGUAUCUCAGUGGAAACGAAAAAUUCCUCUUUAUACUGAGAUGGUUUUGUGUAGCAAAUUUUCACAUGGACCGUGACAAGCACUAGAAAUUUCUGCUUUAUGGCGGUGGUGAAGUACAAAGUUUUAGACCGAAAGACACUUUAUCUCCUUUUGUUUGCUGAUCAAAAGCGUGGACUCGAAAAUACCGAAAUUGCUUCAUCUGUCAAGGACAUUCAAGCCUCUCCAAGGCUAGAAACCAAAAGAAGAUCUGAAAAGAAAGACCCUG
This 404-nucleotide long non-coding RNA is filed under the name Fukomys damarensis (Damara mole-rat). RNAcentral's name for it is "lncRNA (ENSFDAG00000024564.1)". Lineage: Eukaryota; Metazoa; Chordata; Mammalia; Rodentia; Bathyergidae. The record is from RNAcentral.